UUCAAAGUAGUUUAGAUUCCCUUAGAUGUCGCUAUCUUAUUAUCUUCUACUGGAUUACUGAGUAGUAGGAGCAGCACGUGCAAGAGCCAAGAGAUUAUGAUACCCACACCGUUCUAUGUUUGGUAGACACGGCCUAGUCUAGAGAAAAUGGUGGAGCAAAAUGUAUUUAGGACUUCUAUUUUGCUAACUUUCUUCGUUGGCUUCUUGCUUGGCUACAAAACCAAAGAAUGGAGGAUUCGCAUAUCCAAGUGGAGGCGAGAUAGGCUGGCUAAAAAGCUGGCCGAUGCACAGAAGCACUUGGACCUACUUGCUCCGACCAUAUAACCCAAAUUCAAGUUCUUUUCAAUUCUCUAUGGACGAUUUCCAAUAUGAAGAAAUAUUUUAAAUACAAACGUUUAUUAUGAACAACUA
Molecule: long non-coding RNA, 411 nt
Organism: Cimex lectularius (bed bug)
Lineage: Eukaryota; Metazoa; Arthropoda; Insecta; Hemiptera; Cimicidae
Exons: 2
Source: RefSeq, a predicted model, not a curated record